RNAcentral lists this long non-coding RNA (1661 nucleotides) under Terrapene triunguis (Three-toed box turtle). RNAcentral's name for it is "Terrapene carolina triunguis (Three-toed box turtle) lncRNA (ENSTMTG00000013954.1)". The record is from RNAcentral. Lineage: Eukaryota; Metazoa; Chordata; Testudines; Emydidae.
GAGGACUUGACGGAGGUCAUCAGAGAUGUCCCCAUGAUGCACUUGGAUGAAAUUACCUUGUUUAAAAGCAGAGUGGCUGAGGAACCUCCAAACCUGUGGUGGUGAUUAUGCCAUAGCACAUGUAGAACAGUUGGGAUGAACGUGUGAAACAGCUUCUUAUUGGCCUGGAAUCUCCCUUCUUGAGCUUAUGGCCGCCUUAUGGGAUGCUGUACGAUCACUUUAAAUCAGUGCAAUUGAAAAGCAGAAGAGUCUGGACAAACAUUGCUGUGGGGAAACACAGACCUUGCACAUAAAAAUACAAUAUCAAAGCCUUUUGGAACCAUAUGGAGAUUUUCUUGUGGUUAAUAAUGAAUUCCUCUUUUACUUUAUAUUAGUUAAAGGCCAGCUCCCCUCUUCUCCCUCCCUCGGCGGCUGCUUUCCAGCUUCCUUUGAAUUUUCAAAAUGGCUAACCUGGUUAGAAGUAAUGAUAAAAGGAUGGAUGAUGCCUGGCUAUUAACAUGGUUGCUGUUAGCAGCAGGAUCUCAGCCAUAAAACAUGAAGCAAGGGAGACAUUGACCUUUCUGCUGUUUUGAAAUGAAUGGAGACAUCGAUAUCUAUUGUUUUCAGUGGCAUUGACCUCUGACACUCUCACUUCUCCUUCUCCCUCGCUCUUUUAUUUCCUCCUGACGCUUGGGGAGAGGGGUCAGUUUGUACCAUCUAUUGAUCCUGAUCUUACUUGGUGAUAGGGAAAUAAUUAGAAUUGUAAAAGAUCUACAACAUACUAGCACUAUAUAUAUACACAAACAUACAUCCCUCCCCCUUCCCCCCCCCCCCCCCAUGGAAAUUCAAAACUCCUAGAUCUGAAAGAAGGCCGAUCAAUUUAGGUUUAAUUACUAAAUGUUUUUUAUUUUAGCUUUGUAAAUGCUCAAGUGUAGCAUUUUAUGUUACUGUCACAGGAGUCUGGAUGCCUGGUGCCUUGUUUUAUUUAUUUAUUUUUUGUAAGUAGCCCCUCUUAUGUGAACAACUUCUACGUACUGAGAAUGUGAAAUCAGGCAUUGCUAAUUAGCUGUAUGACAAUUAAGUAAUGUAGCACAAAACCAUUAGUACAUCGGAUUUGUUUUUGAAGUUUCUCCUUUGAAGUGGAAGCUGCAACUCUGCCCAAGGCUGCUAGGGAAAUGUUUUUUUGUCAGAACUUUCUUUGAAAAAUGUCAUUGUAAAGUCCCUAUUCUGUUGAGAAUCUCCUAUAUUCACUCCUAUAUAAACAGAGGGUGAAACUUUGUUGUCAAAAUGUUUAAUUUAAAAAAAACCAGACAUUUAAGGAGCAAUUGGUCAAUAAGUAACACCCACUUUUUGGGUAUAACUGUUACUGAAACCGUUGUUUCAGCUUGCUGUAAGAGAAUUGUGUUACAAUGAGAGUGAAGACGUAUGUUACACCAAUAACAUGAAAGCUAGAGGAGGUGGCUCCCAAAAUCAAGAUUUAGCCUGUGAUGUGCUAAAUGACACCAGGAACCCAAGCAGCCUGUUUGCAAAUGACUGACAAACUCCUCAGUUUUAACAGCUCCAUCUGUGCACUUGUUUUACACUUGUAUUUACAGCUCGCUCUUUGUUCAUAAUAGUGAACCACAUUCUCAAUGUGCAAUUUUUCAUGUACAUUUGUGGCAUGUAAAAGAUUUCAAAUAAAG